CCUACGGGCGGCAGCAGUCGAGAAUCAUUCACAAUGGGGGAAACCCUGAUGGUGCGACGCCGCGUGGGGGAAUGAAGGUCUUCGGAUUGUAAACCCCUGGCAUGUGGGAGCAAAUUAAAAAGAUAGUACCACAAGAGGAAGAGACGGCUAACUCUGUGCCAGCAGCCGCGGUAAUACAGAGGUCUCAAGCGUUGUUCGGAAUCACUGGGCGUAACGCGUGCGUAGGCUGUUUCGUAAGCCGUGUGUGAAAGGCGCGGGCUCAACCCGCGGACGGAACAUGAUACUGCGAGACUAGAGUAAUGGAGGGGGAACCGGAAUUCUCGGUGUAGCAGUGAAAUGCGUAGAUAUCGAGAGGAACACUCGUGGCGAAGGCGGGUUCCUGGACAUUAACUGACGCUGAGGCACGAAGGCCAGGGGAGCAAAAGGGAUUAGAUACCCCGGUAGUC
RNAcentral lists this ribosomal RNA (446 nucleotides) under uncultured bacterium. RNAcentral describes it as "partial 16S ribosomal RNA". It matches the Rfam family "Bacterial small subunit ribosomal RNA", at positions 338 to 795 of the family's 1533-position model. The record is from RNAcentral.